GAAGAAAUCAGGAAACACGACCUGGCAAGGAUGGGAUUUAGCCUUAGGAAACUCAAAGCAACACAAUACACACAGGGGAACAGGGCAAGCAAACUCCUAGCCAGACGACUAACACAACAAAGCGUAAAGGCAAAAAUCACAUAUCUGCUGAACUUACAUGGGGAAAAAAAAGUGACACCAAAAGAAAUCAGCGACAUCUUUGCCGACUACUACACGACACUGUACAAUCUAGAGCAAGACCCAAAUACAAC
Molecule: non-coding RNA, 251 nt
Organism: Pelobates cultripes (western spadefoot toad)
Lineage: Eukaryota; Metazoa; Chordata; Amphibia; Anura; Pelobatidae
Source: the annotation of a GenBank genome assembly